AGUUGUCUUCGGGGCGGGGUGUAAUUCCCCACCGGUGGUAAAGUCCACGAGCCAUUAUGGUUGAAUUGGUGAAACUCCAAUACCGACGGUUAUAGUCCGGAUGAAAGAGGAUGAAU
Molecule: non-coding RNA, 116 nt
Organism: Eubacterium sp. CAG:581
Lineage: Bacteria; Bacillati; Bacillota; Clostridia; Eubacteriales; Eubacteriaceae
Source: Rfam